UACAGAGGGUGCAAGCGUUAAUCGGAAUUAUUGGGCGUAAAGGGCUCGUAGGCGGUUUGUCGCGUCGGGAGUGAAAUCCACUGGCUUAACUGGUGGCUUGCUUUCGAUACGGGCAGACUGGAGGUAUGCAGGGGAGAACGGAAUUCCUGGUGUAGCGGUGAAAUGCGCAGAUAUCAGGAGGAACACCAGUGGCGAAGGCGGCUUACUGGUCCGGAACUGACGCUGAGGUGCGAAAGCGUGGGGAGCAAACAGG
This 253-nucleotide ribosomal RNA is filed under the name uncultured bacterium. RNAcentral describes it as "partial 16S ribosomal RNA". It matches the Rfam family "Bacterial small subunit ribosomal RNA", at positions 524 to 776 of the family's 1533-position model. The record is from RNAcentral.